Molecule: ribosomal RNA, 513 nt
Filed under: Anthrenus verbasci (variegated carpet beetle)
Lineage: Eukaryota; Metazoa; Arthropoda; Insecta; Coleoptera; Dermestidae
Description: SSU rRNA
Rfam family: Eukaryotic small subunit ribosomal RNA
Source: RNAcentral
AGCAGGCGCGCAAAUUACCCACUCCCGGCACGGGGAGGUAGUGACGAAAAAUAACGAUACGGGACUCAUCCGAGGCCCCGUAAUCGGAAUGAGUACACUCUAAAUCCUUUAACGAGGAUCAAUUGGAGGGCAAGUCUGGUGCCAGCAGCCGCGGUAAUUCCAGCUCCAAUAGCGUAUAUUAAAGUUGUUGCGGUUAAAAAGCUCGUAGUCGAAUCUGUGUCCCGCGCCGCCGGUUCAUCGCUCGCGGUGUUCAACUGGCGUGUCCGCGGGACGUCCUGCCGGUGGGCCCAACCCGAGAGGGCGGCCCAACUGCAAAUCCCACCGCGGUGCUCUUCAUUGAGUGUCGAGGUGGGCCGGCACGUUUACUUUGAACAAAUUAGAGUGCUUAAAGCAGGCUAAAAUUUCGCCUGAAUACUUAGUGCAUGGAAUAAUGGAAUAGGACCUCGGUUCUAUUUUGUUGGUUUUCGGAACCCCGAGGUAAUGAUUAAUAGGAACGGAUGGGGGCAUUCGUAU